This 505-nucleotide ribosomal RNA is filed under the name uncultured bacterium. Its description in RNAcentral is "partial 16S ribosomal RNA". It matches the Rfam family "Bacterial small subunit ribosomal RNA", at positions 28 to 507 of the family's 1533-position model. The record is from RNAcentral.
GACGAACGCUGGCGGCGUGCCUAAUACAUGCAAGUAGGACGCACAGUCUAUACCGUAGCUUGCUACACCAUAGGCUGAGAGUUGCGAACGGGUGAGUAACGCGUAGGUAACCUGCCUAUUAGAGGGGGAUAACUAUUGGAAACGAUAGCUAAUACCGCAUAACAGUAUGUAACACAUGUUAGAUGCUUGAAAGAUGCAAUUGCAUCGCUAGUAGAUGGACCUGCGUUGUAUUAGCUAGUAGGUAGGGUAAUGGCCUACCUAGGCGACGAUACAUAGCCGACCUGAGAGGGUGAUCGGCCACACUGGGACUGAGACACGGCCCAGACGCCUACGGGAGGCAGCAGUAGGGAAUCUUCGGCAAUGGGGGGAACCCUGACCGAGCAACGCCGCGUGAGUGAAGAAGGUUUUCGGAUCGUAAAGCUCUGUUGUUAAGGAAGAACGAGUGUGAGAAUGGAAAGUUCAUACUGUGACGGUACUUAACCAGAAAGGGACGGCUAACUACGUG